UACGAAGGGUGCUAGCGUUGUUCGGAAUUACUGGGCGUAAAGCGCGCGUAGGCGGCGAUUCAAGUCAGGGGUGAAAUCCCGGAGCUUAACUCCGGAACUGCCUUUGAAACUGUGUCGCUGGAGUAUUGGAGGGGAGCGGGGAAUUCCUAAUGUAGAGGUGAAAUUCGUAGAUAUUAGGAGGAACACCGGUGGCGAAGGCGCCGCUCUGGACAAUCACUGACGCUGAGGCGCGAAAGCGUGGGGAUCAAACAGG
Molecule: ribosomal RNA, 253 nt
Filed under: uncultured bacterium
Lineage: Bacteria
Description: partial 16S ribosomal RNA
Rfam family: Bacterial small subunit ribosomal RNA
Source: RNAcentral